This 1433-nucleotide ribosomal RNA is filed under the name human gut metagenome. RNAcentral's name for it is "bacterial LSU rRNA". It matches the Rfam family "Bacterial large subunit ribosomal RNA", at positions 1081 to 2515 of the family's 2925-position model. The record is from RNAcentral.
AGGCUAAGACAGUCAGGAAGUUGGCUUAGAAGCAGCCAUCCUUCAAAGAAAGCGUAAUAGCUCACUGAUCGAGUCUUUCUGCGCGGAAGAUGUAACGGGGCUAAGUCAAUAACCGAAGCCGCGGAUUCACACUUGUGUGUGAGUGGUAGGGGAGCGUUCUGUAAGCCUGCGAAGGUGACUCGUAAGGGUUGCUGGAGGUAUCAGAAGUGCGAAUGCUGACAUGAGUAACGUUAAAGCGGGUGAAAAGCCCGCUCGCCGUAAGCCCAAGGUUUCCUGCUCUACGUUCAUCGGAGCAGGGUGAGUCGGCCCCUAAGGUGAGGCUGAGAAGCGUAACUGAUGGGAACAAGGUUAAUAUUCCUUGACCACCGCUGAAUGCGAAGGGGGGACGGAGUAUUGAAGAUCAUCCGGGUGUUGGAUAUCCCGGUUUGCGAGCGUAGGAGGCUGACAGGCAAAUCCGUCAGCGGAUCUCCGAGGCAAAGCAUCGAGCUCUCUUUUGAGCGAAGUGAUUGGAUGUGCUUCCAGGAAAAGCCUCUAAGCUCCAGUUCAGCGGGACCGUACCGCAAACCGACACUGGUGGGCGAGCUGAAUAUGCUCAGGCGCUUGAGAGAACUCAGGAGAAGGAACUCGGCAAAUUGACACCGUAACUUCGGGAUAAGGUGUGCCUUUGUAGCGUGGAGGGAGAAACACCCCGAGCGCGAAGAGGUCUCAGAUAAUCGGUGGCUGCGACUGUUUAUUAAAAACACAGCACUCUGCAAAGACGAAAGUCGACGUAUAGGGUGUGAUGCCUGCCCGGUGCUGGAAGAUUAAUUGAUGGGGUGCAAGCUCCUGAUCGAAGUCCCAGUAAACGGCGGCCGUAACUAUAACGGUCCUAAGGUAGCGAAAUUCCUUGUCGGGCAAGUUCCGACCUGCACGAAUGGCAUAACGAUGGCCACACUGUCUCCUCCUGAGACUCAGUGAAGUUGAAGUGUUUGUGAUGAUGCAAUCUCCCCGCGGCUAGACGGAAAGACCCCAUGAACCUUUACUGUAGCUUUGCAUUGGACUUUGAACCGAUCUGUGUAGGAUAGGCGGGAGCCUGUGAAACCACAACGCCAGUUGUGGCGGAGGCGUCCUUGAAAUACCGCCCUGAUUUGUUUGAGGUUCUAACCUGGGACAGUCAUCCUGUCCGGGGACCGUGCAUGGUAGGCAGUUUGACUGGGGCGGUCUCCUCCUAAAGGGUAACGGAGGAGUGCGAAGGUACGCUAGGUACGGUCGGAAAUCGUGCUGAUAGUGCAAUGGCAAAAGCGUGCUUGACUGCGAGACCCACAAGUCGAGCAGAUACGAAAGUAGGUCAUAGUGAUCCGGUGGCUCUGUAUGGAAGGGCCAUCGCUCAACGGAUAAAAGGUACUCUGGGGAUAACAGGCUGAUACCGCCCAAGAGUUCAUAUCGACGGCGGU